Long non-coding RNA from Leopardus geoffroyi (Geoffroy's cat), 499 nucleotides. RefSeq lists it as uncharacterized. The record is from RefSeq and is a predicted model, not a curated record. The transcript is spliced from 2 exons. Lineage: Eukaryota; Metazoa; Chordata; Mammalia; Carnivora; Felidae.
CAGCUUGCUGACUGCUGUUCUAGACCCUCCUCCAGAAGCAGCCUACAGUACUAACCCAUCUGAGCAGGAGUGACAUCAGUGGGGUAAGGAAGCUUCACAAUAACUGUAUGAGAUCAGUUAAGAAGAGGCAAUGGCAACCAUAAUUAGGUCUAUGCAACAUCACUACUGAGGUCCUUCUCCUUGCCGCCCUCCCCAGGGCUCCCUACACCCUGUCUCAGGUUCCGUCACCUUGGCAAGGAAAGGAGCUUCCCUCCAUAACUUCCAUCUUUUCUUCAGGACAUGCAGAUGGCUAUGUACAUGGAUCCAGAAAAUUCCAGGUCAGCUGAAGCCCUUCAAAGUAGCCCUGGUGGAACAAGCUAGGACAGCUCCAGUGGCUGUGCCACACCCCUCUGGGAGGCCCCUCUCAAGUGAGGCUCCCAAGCACACGUCUAGGACCCUGCCAGCAGAAAGCCAUUGCUCACAACAUCUCCAGCUCUGUAAUAAAUUCUUUAUCAUAACA